CCUACGGGUGGCAGCAGUGAGGAAUAUUGGUCAAUGGACGAGAGUCUGAACCAGCCAAGUAGCGUGAAGGAUGACUGCCCUAUGGGUUGUAAACUUCUUUUAUAUGGGAAUAAAACGUUCCACGUGUGGGAUUUUGUAUGUACCAUAUGAAUAAGGAUCGGCUAACUCCGGGCCAGCAGCCGCGGUAAGACGGAGGAUCCGAGCGUUAUCCGGAUUUAUUGGGUUUAAAGGGAGCGUAGGUGGAUUGUUAAGGCAGUUGUGAAAGUUUGCGGCUCAACCGUAAAAUUGCAGUUGAAACUGGCAGUCUUGAGUACAGUAGAGGUGGGCGGAAUUCGUGGUGUAGCGGUGAAAUGCUUAGAUAUCACGAAGAACUCCGAUUGCGAAGGCAGUUCACUGGACUGCAACUGACACUGAGGCUCGAAAGUGUGGGUAUCAAACAGGAUUAGAUACCCUGGUAGUC
Molecule: ribosomal RNA, 460 nt
Filed under: uncultured bacterium
Lineage: Bacteria
Description: partial 16S ribosomal RNA
Rfam family: Bacterial small subunit ribosomal RNA
Source: RNAcentral